UCCUAAAUGAAUAUGUAAUUUCAGCCAGG
RNAcentral lists this non-coding RNA (29 nucleotides) under Mus musculus (house mouse). Lineage: Eukaryota; Metazoa; Chordata; Mammalia; Rodentia; Muridae. The record is from RNAcentral.